Molecule: ribosomal RNA, 253 nt
Filed under: uncultured bacterium
Lineage: Bacteria
Description: partial 16S ribosomal RNA
Rfam family: Archaeal small subunit ribosomal RNA
Source: RNAcentral
UACCAGCACCCCGAGUGGUCGGGACGAUUAUUGGGCCUAAAGCAUCCGUAGCCGGCCUUACAAGUCCUCCGUUAAAUCCAACUGCUUAACAGAUGGGCUGCGGAGGAUACUAUAAGACUAGGAGGCAGGAGAGGCAAGCGGUACUCAGUGGGUAGGGGUAAAAUCCGUUGAUCCAUUGAAGACCACCAGUGGCGAAGGCGGCUUGCCAGAAUGCGCUCGACGGUGAGGGAUGAAAGCUGGGGGAGCAAACCGG